AGCAGCCGCGGUAAUUCCAGCUCCAAUAGCGUAUAUUAAAGUUGUUGCAGUUAAAAAGCUCGUAGUUGAAUUUCGGGGUUAGUAGGUUGGUCAUGCCACAGGUAUGUACUGAUCUUACUGAUUCCUCCUUCCUGAUGAACCGUAAUGCCAUUAAUUUGGUGUUGCGGGGAAACUGGACUGUUACUUUGAAAAAAUUAGAGUGUUUAAAGCAGGCUAACGCUUGAAUACAUUAGCAUGGAAUAAUGAAAUAGGACGUUCGAUCCUAUUUUGUUGGUUUCUAGGAUUGACGUAAUGAUUAAUAGGGAUAGUUGGGGGCAUUAGUAUUCAAUUGUCAGAGGUGAAAUUCUUGGAUUUAUUGAAGACUAACUACUGCGAAAGCAUUUGCCAAGGAUGUUUUCAUUAAUCAAGAACGAAAGUUAGGGGAUCGAAGACGAUCAGAUACCGUCGUAGUCUUAACCAUAAACUAUGCCGACUAGGGAUCGGAUGAUGUUAAUUUUUUAAUGACUCAUUCGGCGCCUUACG
Molecule: ribosomal RNA, 522 nt
Filed under: uncultured Glomus
Lineage: Eukaryota; Fungi; Glomeromycota; Glomeromycetes; Glomerales; Glomeraceae
Description: SSU rRNA
Rfam family: Eukaryotic small subunit ribosomal RNA
Source: RNAcentral